This 427-nucleotide ribosomal RNA is filed under the name uncultured bacterium. RNAcentral describes it as "partial 16S ribosomal RNA". It matches the Rfam family "Bacterial small subunit ribosomal RNA", at positions 355 to 774 of the family's 1533-position model. The record is from RNAcentral.
UGGGGAAUAUUGCACAAUGGGCGCAAGCCUGAUGCAGCCAUGCCGCGUGUAUGAAGAAGGCCUUCGGGUUGUAAAGUACUUUCAGCGAGGAGGAAGGCGUUGUGGUUAAUAACCGCAACGAUUGACGUUACUCGCAGAAGAAGCACCGGCUAACUCCGUGCCAGCAGCCGCGGUAAUACGGAGGGUGCAAGCGUUAAUCGGAAUUACUGGGCGUAAAGCGCACGCAGGCGGUCUGUCAAGUCGGAUGUGAAAUCCCCGGGCUCAACCUGGGAACUACAUCCGAAACUGGCAGGCUAGAGUCUUGUAGAGGGGGGUAGAAUUCCAGGUGUAGCGGUGAAAUGCGUAGAGAUCUGGAGGAAUACCGGUGGCGAAGGCGGCCCCCUGGACAAAGACUGACGCUCAGGUGCGAAAGCGUGGGGAGCAAACA